Molecule: ribosomal RNA, 429 nt
Filed under: Bacteroidota bacterium
Lineage: Bacteria; Pseudomonadati; Bacteroidota
Description: Bacteroidetes bacterium partial 16S ribosomal RNA
Rfam family: Bacterial small subunit ribosomal RNA
Source: RNAcentral
UAGGGAAUCUUCCGCAAUGGGCGAAAGCCUGACGGAGCAACGCCGCGUGAGUGGUGAAGGUCUUCGGAUCGUAAAACUCUGUUAUUAGGGAAGAAUAAAUGUGUAAGUAACUAUGCACGUCUUGACGGUACCUAAUCAGAAAGCCACGGCUAAAUACGUGCCAGCAGCCGCGGUAAUACGUAUGGGGCAAGCGUUAUCCGGAUUUACUGGGUGUAAAGGGAGCGUAGGCGGCAGUACAAGUCGGGAGUGAAAACUCGGGGCUCAACCCCGAGACUGCUCUCGAAACUGUACAGCUAGAGUGCAGGAAGGGCAGGCGGAAUUCCUGGUGUAGCGGUGAAAUGCGUAGAUAUCAGGAGGAACACCGGUGGCGAAGGCGGCCUGCUGGACUGUAACUGACGCUGAGGCUCGAAAGCGUGGGGAGCGAACAGG